Long non-coding RNA from Ictalurus punctatus (channel catfish), 400 nucleotides. RefSeq lists it as uncharacterized. The record is from RefSeq and is a predicted model, not a curated record. The transcript has 3 exons. Lineage: Eukaryota; Metazoa; Chordata; Actinopteri; Siluriformes; Ictaluridae.
ACGCGCGCGCGCACGCACACACACACACUGAUAACUGCUAGCAUAAACACGUUUAGUAACAAGACACUUUCUGAAAGCAGGACAAACUCUUUUGUCCACAUGUUUACAGCGGAGGAGAAACUACAGGAAGACCACGCGCGUGAAAAUCUCAGCCCAAGCACCAGAACCUGAGCUCAGAGCACAUCACCGCAGGCAGAACAGCACUUGUAGACGAGAGGCAGGAAGGGAAUCGUAUGAUGCACAUCUAAUAACUUCACCAUCUGUCUUCGACGCUGGCCCGCCACCAACAUUGUGUGUGUCAGCCGCUGCCUGAGAACCCAACUUACAAUUAGGAAGAGAAAAAAACACCCCACUGCAAAUCUCAAGGUGGCUGGAAUAAUGUUGUAUGGGAUGUGGAGAA